UACAGAGGGUGCAAGCGUUAAUCGGAGUUACUGGGCGUAAAGGGCGCGUAGGCGGUUAGUUAAGUGAGAUGUGAAAGCCCUGGGCUUAACCUGGGAACUGCAUCUUAUACUGGCUAGCUGGAGUACUGUAGAGGGUAGUGGAAUUUCCGGUGUAGCGGUGAAAUGCGUAGAGAUCGGAAGGAACACCAGUGGCGAAGGCGGCUACCUGGACAGAUACUGACGCUGAGGCGCGAGAGCGUGGGGAGCAAACAGG
RNAcentral lists this ribosomal RNA (253 nucleotides) under uncultured bacterium. Its description in RNAcentral is "partial 16S ribosomal RNA". It matches the Rfam family "Bacterial small subunit ribosomal RNA", at positions 524 to 776 of the family's 1533-position model. The record is from RNAcentral.